This 841-nucleotide long non-coding RNA is filed under the name Physcomitrium patens. RNAcentral describes it as "long non-coding RNA (PPAT_LNC006368)". The record is from RNAcentral. Lineage: Eukaryota; Viridiplantae; Streptophyta; Bryopsida; Funariales; Funariaceae.
UAGGAUUUGGAUUAGGGUUUGGUUAGGGUUUGGUUAGGAUUUGAUUUAAGGUUUGGUUUAGGGUUUAGGAUUUGGAUUAGAAUUUAGGAUUGGAUUAGGAUUUGUAUUAGGGUUUAAGGUUUGGUUAGGGUUUGAUUUAGGGUUUAGAUUAGAAUUUGGACUAGGAUUUGGUUAGGGUUUGAUUUAAGGUUUGGUUUAGAAUUUAGGAUUUGGAUUAGAAUUUAGGAUUGGAUUAGGAUUUGUAUUAGGGUUUAAGGUUUGGUUAGGGUUUGAUUUAGGGUUUAGAUUAGAAUUUGGACUAGGAUUUGGUUAGGGUUUGAUUUAAGGUUUGGUUUAGGGUUUAGGAUUUGGAUUAGAAUUUAGGAUUGGAUUAGGGUUUAGGAUUUGGUUAGGAUUUGAUUUAGGAUUUGUAUUAGGGUUUGGUUAGGAUUUGAUUUAAGGUUUGGUUUAGGGUUUAGGAUUGGAUUAGGAUUUGGUUUAGGAUUUGAUUUAGGAUUUGGUUUAAGAUUUAGAGUUUGGAAUAAGAUUUAAUUUAAGAUUUGUUUAGGAUUUGACUUAGAGUUUAGGAAUUAUUAGGAUUUAAGAUUUAAUUAGGUUUGGUCUAAAGUUGAGUGAAAUUCAAUAGGGUUUUAACUAGAAUUAAAUUAAGGUUGAAUUGACAUAUAUUUGAGUAAAAUUUGUGAUCAUUCUAAUAUUUCUUUAAGAAUUUUAUUGUUUGUUUGAAAUUUCUUUGAGUUGUUUGAAUUUGAUUACGUUUGUUUACUAUUAUUAUAAUCUAAUUAGAGCAUUGUUAGUAUUCUAUUUAGGAUUUUGUUAUCGCAAUUUCUAUUCUUCGUUCUAC